Long non-coding RNA from Drosophila mojavensis, 622 nucleotides. RefSeq lists it as uncharacterized. NCBI's taxonomy places the organism in Eukaryota, Metazoa, Arthropoda, Insecta, Diptera, Drosophilidae. The record is from RefSeq and is a predicted model, not a curated record. The transcript has 2 exons.
CAUUACACCCAAAUCAUCUAGAAUUAUUAUCAUAGAAAAUUAUAUUUACCUCAUACUAGAUAGAGCAUUAGUCUUCAGACCUGAAUUACAAUGUUGUUAUUUUCGCAUGUGCUUGUGACUCUUUGUUUUUAUAUGUUUUAUUUUUGGUAAUUGUUUGGCACAUAAAAUUAAAAGUUGAGCAUGUCGGUAUAAUAAAUGUUUCCUUGGUUGGCAUGGGCGUUGGUUUGGCAACACUUGCUGCAUGCCAAAUGGCAACCCUGACGGGGAAAUGUCAUAUUUGGAAGUGCGAUUCAGUCGACGACUGAAUCUGAAUGGGAAUGCGGCGAAUGGGAAUGGCGAAUUGAAAUUGAAAUCGAAAUCAAAAUUGGAAGAUUUCUGGCCACUGAUAAAAGGAAUCUGCUGUGUCAGAGAACGUGUGUGAUAUCAAGGAGAUGGCAAACAGCAACAAGCACAGCAGGCGAUAGAUAAUGCCACUGAUUCUUCAACUAGAUGAUACCCUAUAUAUAUGACUUUACUCUUCCAUUAGCUCAACAUUUUUAGAAGUUGUAGAGGUAUGGAAUUUGUCUAUUUUGAAACAUUCAUUAUUAUGCUGCACGAAUAAAUAAAUAUUUUGGUACUUGAA